AGUCUUCGGGGCGGAGUGAAAUUCUCCACCGACGGUAUAGCCCGUGAGCUCUUUGUGAGUUGAUUUGGUGUAAUUCCAAAGCCGACAGUACAGUCUGGAUGGUAGAAGAU
RNAcentral lists this non-coding RNA (110 nucleotides) under human gut metagenome. Its description in RNAcentral is "FMN riboswitch (RFN element)". It matches the Rfam family "FMN riboswitch aptamer (RFN element)". From Rfam's summary of the family: The RFN element is a highly conserved domain that is found frequently in the 5'-untranslated regions of prokaryotic mRNAs that encode for flavin mononucleotide (FMN) biosynthesis and transport proteins. This element is a metabolite-dependent riboswitch that directly binds FMN in the absence of proteins. The record is from RNAcentral.